ACCUUCCCAAGUGCAAAAAUCUUCUGCAACAAUGAAGGCUUGGGCUGAUGACCAGUGGCUGCAGAACUUUUGGAUGGUCCACAUUUCUGCAUCUUUGUGCAAAACUCACCAAAAUAAAAGCUGCACUGACAGUGGAGAAGAAAAAACAACUGUACUACGGGGAUCUGCAACACCAGAUUAUUAUUGGUCAAUCACUGCUCUCUCUCCUAAACUAAGAUGAAAUGGAUUUCUUUAAUAUUCAAGACUGUGAGCUAAGAUCAUCAGUGAAGACUCAGGAGUUCAAGCUUCCUGGAGUGGGUGAGUUUCCUCAUUUUCUCUCUCUGUUUCCUUUUCUAACUCAGAUUCUUCAGAUUUCCAGACAACGAUUUUCUCCAAAAAAGUUGCACCAAGCAAAAAAUUACCUCAAUACACAUAAUGGCAAGGAAAUCUUUUGAAGAAAAAAUUGCAAAUGUUUUGGCAUACAUAAGGAGUAGCACAUAUCCUGAAGGAAUGAAUAAAGCAGGCAGACUGAACCUGCGUCGAUAUGCUGUCAACUUUUCAUUGGAAGGUUGCACAGUGUCUGACUUGCCAGAAAGAGGGAAAGCAAUCAAAUCUGGAUACCACCUUGAAAAGCAUAGAGGUCACUCGGAUCUGGGAAUUGGUGGGAAUGGAUUUAAUAGGACCGUUUCCAGUAACAAAGAAUGGAUACCAGUACAUAGUUACAGCCA
Gopherus evgoodei (Goodes thornscrub tortoise) is the source of this 707-nucleotide long non-coding RNA. RefSeq lists it as uncharacterized. NCBI's taxonomy places the organism in Eukaryota, Metazoa, Chordata, Testudines, Testudinidae. The transcript is spliced from 6 exons. The record is from RefSeq and is a predicted model, not a curated record.